UACGUAGGCAGCAAGCGUUGUUCGGAAUUACUGGGCGUAAAGAGUGUGUAGGCGGUGCUCUAAGUUCGGUGUGAAAUCUCCCGGCUCAACUGGGAGGGUGCGCCGGAAACUGGAGUGCUGGAGCGCGGGAGAGGAAAGCGGAAUUCCUGGUGUAGCGGUGAAAUGCGUAGAUAUCAGGAGGAACACCGGCGGUGUAGACGGCUUUCUGGACCGUAGCUGACGCUGGAGACACGAAAGCGUGGGUAGCAAACAGG
Molecule: ribosomal RNA, 254 nt
Filed under: uncultured bacterium
Lineage: Bacteria
Description: partial 16S ribosomal RNA
Rfam family: Bacterial small subunit ribosomal RNA
Source: RNAcentral